RNAcentral lists this small nuclear RNA (20 nucleotides) under Arabidopsis thaliana (thale cress). RNAcentral describes it as "snRNA_15844". Lineage: Eukaryota; Viridiplantae; Streptophyta; Magnoliopsida; Brassicales; Brassicaceae. The record is from RNAcentral.
AUUCCUCUAGUUCCACUUUU